RNAcentral lists this long non-coding RNA (1735 nucleotides) under Aquilegia coerulea. Its description in RNAcentral is "long non-coding RNA (ACOE_LNC000830)". Lineage: Eukaryota; Viridiplantae; Streptophyta; Magnoliopsida; Ranunculales; Ranunculaceae. The record is from RNAcentral.
UUGGGAGAAGAUAAACUAACUAUGGAAAAUAGUUGGCUGGGCCGUUGGAGGUUGAGACAGUGAAAGUUGUCUAGUGGGGUUUUAUGGGAAUGGCUGUCCAUCGUAAAGGAUAAUUGAAAGGUAGAAGAUAGGACUUACUUAAAGGGGAGAGAAUGUGAAAGGUUUCUCACUGUUCGCUGAAACUGCAUCUAUGUAGGUGGAUAUGCUUAGUGACUCAAAUUGGCGAUGCUUCUCAAGUUCUUGCAUGAAGACUAUGACAGUGGUAAUGUUUAAACUUUGAUUUGAUAGUUAAGCACAUGUUUUCUAACAAAUUGCACGUAAGUUUAUUUACUUGAUCCCUAUAAUUUUUCUUAAUCAUUCAUCAAUGACAUUUUAUCUUAAAAAAAAUAAAGUUUUGCCAUAAUUACUGCAACUGGAUCAUCUAAUGAACCAUGCUGAUUUCUUAUUAUCUGACGACUUCCUUUCUAAAAGAAGGAUACAGUCAUUUGGUGUCUUUGAACUGCUACUGAGUCAUUUUUAUGUUUCAAACUGGGAAUAGGUUGAGAGUUGGUUGUAUGUGAUGUUUUGUAAUAAUAUUUAAUUCUUCUUCGAAUUUUGUACGAAGGACAUGAAUACGAUAAGCAUAGUUGUAUUGACACUUAAAAUGACACUGCACGACUAAACAAACAACUGACCUUUUUUUUUUGUGUGUGUUAUGGGGGAGACUCCGAAUAGGGGUUGGGUUUGGCAGGACCCCUAACUGUAAUUAAUAUAUAGAAUUAAAACCUUGAGGGGGACUUUGGGCCUUGCCUCAAUACAAGUAGGAGUAAAAACAAGGCUCAAUUGGGCGUGGACGGAGUCCAAAAACAAAAAGGAAACAAAAUGAAAACAUGACAAGGAAGCCCAAAACGAAGUCAGCUCCUUGGACUAAACAAACAUCUAACCUCAGCUGGUAUCUUAGUCAGGAAAAUGAAAGAGGUGUUCGCGCGCGGAGGGGUGGGGUGAAAUUAUCAGGUUCAUAGGCCAUGAGGGCAAAAUCAUGAACACCUUGUUACCACUACAGCUCACUGGUGCGUCUUCACACCACCAACUCAUAUCUAAGACCACAUACUUAGUGCUAGAAUUAAGUAGUCCAAGACUUGCUUCUGAAAUUUCUAUUCUUGUCAUUUCAUCUUUAUCACAUCAUUGCCUAGUAGGAGUCUCAUUCAGACUUAGUUAUACAGUAGUUGUUAUUACAAGGGAAGAUUGCUGAAUGCCUAAAUCAUGAUGGUCCUUAUUUUGACAGCAUACAGUCCAUAGCAAAUCAGGAAAAAUCCGUUCAUAACAAAAGAUUGGUUGAAAACUCUGGUGUUUGUGUUGAGUCAGAUAAUAUUAACCAUUGGUGGAACUUGUUCGGCUUCUGUUGAUUCAGGUUAUCAACCUUAUUUAGCACAGGUAAUAUAUGGAAAUGAGUUUUUACUGUUAUUUAUUUUCUCCAUAAUGGUAGAUUCUAGCUGCUUUUUGAAGAAGCACCGUACCAAUAGUUAAAAUAAAAUAGUAUCCAUCUCAUGAAAGACCGACCCUAAGUUCUUUUAUCAAUUUACAAAUCGGACUCUGUUGCUUGUACAUCCAACUCUGAACUAAUACCCCAGUUUGAAACUUAAAUGGGCCUUAUUGGGGUAUAUAUGCAAAGUUUGACAAUACACCCAUCAUAUGUAUUCGGAUAGUCCUGACAUUACUUGUCCGUGAUUAAACACCUGCUUGAAUUCUAUGUGUG